CAGCAGCCACGGUAAAACGUAGGUGGCAAGCGUUGUCCGGAAUUAUUGGGCGUAAAGGGCUCGCAGGCGGUUUCUUAAGUCUGAUGUGAAAGCCCCCGGCUCAACCGGGGAGGGUCAUUGGAAACUGGGAAACUUGAGUGCAGAAGAGGAGAGUGGAAUUCCACGUGUAGCGGUGAAAUGCGUAGAGAUGUGGAGGAACACCAGUGGCGAAGGCGACUCUCUGGUCCGUAACUGACGCUGAGGAGCGAAAGCGUGGGGAGCGAACAGGAUUAGAUACCCGAGUAGUCCCUGUCUCUUAUAU
Molecule: ribosomal RNA, 301 nt
Filed under: uncultured bacterium
Lineage: Bacteria
Description: partial 16S ribosomal RNA
Rfam family: Bacterial small subunit ribosomal RNA
Source: RNAcentral